GAAGUACUCCCUCCGUCCGAAAAUACUUGUCAUCAAAAUGGAUAAAAAGAGAUGUAUCUAGAACUAAAAUAUGUCUAGAUGCAUCCCUUUUUAUCCGUUUUGAUGACAAGUAUUUCCGGACGGAGGGAGUAGGUA
Triticum aestivum (bread wheat) is the source of this 135-nucleotide non-coding RNA. The record is from Rfam. NCBI's taxonomy places the organism in Eukaryota, Viridiplantae, Streptophyta, Magnoliopsida, Poales, Poaceae.